GACGAACGCUGGCGGCGUGCCUAAUACAUGCAAGUUGAGCGCUGAAGGUUGGUACUUGUACCAACUGGAUGAGCAGCGAACGGGUGAGUAACGCGUGGGGAAUCUGCCUUUGAGCGGGGGACAACAUUUGGAAACGAAUGCUAAUACCGCAUAAAAACUUUAAACACAAGUUUUAAGUUUGAAAGAUGCAAUUGCAUCACUCAAAGAUGAUCCCGCGUUGUAUUAGCUAGUUGGUGAGGUAAAGGCUCACCAAGGCGAUGAUACAUAGCCGACCUGAGGGGGUGAUCGGCCACAUUGGGACUGAGACACGGCCCAAACUCCUACGGGAGGCAGCAGUAGGGAAUCUUCGGCAAUGGACGAAAGUCUGACCGAGCAACGCCGCGGGAGUGAAGAAGGGUGUCGGAUCGUGAAACUCUGUUGGUAGAGAAGAACGUUGGUGAGAGUGGAAAGCUCAUCAAGUGACGGUAACUACCCAGAAAGGGACGGCUAACUACGUG
Molecule: ribosomal RNA, 497 nt
Filed under: uncultured bacterium
Lineage: Bacteria
Description: partial 16S ribosomal RNA
Rfam family: Bacterial small subunit ribosomal RNA
Source: RNAcentral